CAAUAGCGUAUAUUAAAGUUGUUGCAGUUAAAAAGCUCGUAGUUGAAUUUUUGCUUGCCGCCGAUGUCGGAACUUCCGUACGUUCGGCGGCGUGCAUCCUUGGGUGGAACCUGUGUGGCAUUAGGUUGUCGUGCAGGGGAUGCUCAUCGUUUACUGUGGAAAAAUUAGAGUGUUCAAAGCAGGUUUACGCCGUUGAAUAUAUUAGCAUGGAAUAAUAAGAUAGGACCUUGGUACUAUUUUGUUGGUUUGCGCACCGAGGUAAUGAUUAACAGGGACAGUUGGGGGUAUUCGUAUUCCAUUGUCAGAGGUGAAAUUCUUGGAUUUCUGGAAGACGAACUACUGCGAAAGCAUUUACCAAGGAUGUUUUCAUUAA
Molecule: ribosomal RNA, 373 nt
Filed under: uncultured eukaryote
Lineage: Eukaryota
Description: partial 18S ribosomal RNA
Rfam family: Eukaryotic small subunit ribosomal RNA
Source: RNAcentral